GCCCUUCGGGGUGGAUUAGUGGCGAACGGGUGAGUAACACGUGGGCAAUCUGCCCUUCACUCUGGGACAAGCCCUGGAAACGGGGUCUAAUACCGGAUAACACUCCUCCCUGCAUGGGGAGGGGUUAAAAGCUCCGGCGGUGAAGGAUGAGCCCGCGGCCUAUCAGCUUGUUGGUGGGGUAAUGGCCUACCAAGGCGACGACGGGUAGCCGGCCUGAGAGGGCGACCGGCCACACUGGGACUGAGACACGGCCCAGACUCCUACGGGAGGCAGCAGUGGGGAAUAUUGCACAAUGGGCGAAAGCCUGAUGCAGCGACGCCGCGUGAGGGAUGACGGCCUU
Molecule: ribosomal RNA, 340 nt
Filed under: Streptomyces sp.
Lineage: Bacteria; Bacillati; Actinomycetota; Actinomycetes; Kitasatosporales; Streptomycetaceae
Description: bacterial SSU rRNA
Rfam family: Bacterial small subunit ribosomal RNA
Source: RNAcentral